GCCUGACGAAGUCCGAAAGUCCAUAGGUUCAAAGUCUCUGGGUCUUUUGGGUUCUGCUAAGGCCUCUGCCCGACACGGGGUGCUGCUCUUGGAAGCCUGGAAGCUUCUGUGUGGGAAUUACUAUGGAGAUGUCCCGGGCUGCCCAGGCUGGAGCUGUUUGUGCCACAUUCAUGUGCUGCGCCCUUCCCCCAAGUGCACCACUGUGCCAGGCAGGCAGCUCUGCUCCCCCUGACCUUGGGCAUCAGCACUCUCCCUUCUCCCCCCACCAACCCUGUGCUCAGCUCAGGCCACACCUUUCUGCUUGUGGGGCCAGGAGACCCCAGCUGCACCCACUCCCACCAGCUGUGUGGGUGCUGGGUCCGUCAAUCCAGGGCCCGGGGCUGGGUGGGCAGCAAGGGUAAGCCCACUGCAACUGCUUGCUCCAGCCCCUGUUGGUUCAGGGACCCACUCAGGGCAGACUCAGCCUGUAAGGUGUCAGACAACCUCACCUACUUGUGCCUACAUCCCCAGUGCUGCACCCAGGCUGUUCAGGGCGCCCCCUUCUGGGAGUCUGCAUUCAGGACAGAGCCCAGCUCCCCCUCCCUCCCUCCUCAUACAGGAAGGAUGGUGGGAUCAGGGCACCCUGGUGUCUGAUUCGUCAUCUGGAUCUGCCAGCAUCCUAGGGGGCCUGGGGGGGGGGCAUGGGCAGAACCAGCAGCACCAAGGACAGCGGCAUGCUGGGCUUCAAAUGGAACAAGCUAUUCUUGGGACCAGGGGCAGGGUGACCACUACUGUCCUUGGGAAUUAAACUUUGUCCUCAUCCAGUGCUCCCAGGCCCUGAAGACCACCAGCCCUCAUGGAAUCACAGAAGGCUUGCUCCUUAGAGAGCGAAAUAUACACACCCUCAUUUACAGGACAGGACACUGAGGCCCCAGGAGAGACAGUGACUUUGUCCAGAGUGACUCUUCCAGCCACACUGACACCCAGGUUUGGAAGGCUCCCCACCACCCACCUGUGCACCUGAAGAGCUAAGGGGAGAGAGAGAGAGGUCUAAAUGGUGAGUAGGGGGGGGGUCUCCAGAGGAGCCCAGGAGCCAUGAAGGGAAGAGCCUGGCUACUCAUCUCAGCACCAAGGUCUCUGAUGUUGGCUUACUGAAGACUAAAUGUGA
This 1147-nucleotide long non-coding RNA is filed under the name Marmota monax (woodchuck). The record is from RNAcentral. Lineage: Eukaryota; Metazoa; Chordata; Mammalia; Rodentia; Sciuridae.